GACGAACGCUGGCGGCGUGCUUAACACAUGCAAGUCGAACGGAAAGGCCCUGCUUUUGUGGGGUGCUCGAGUGGCGAACGGUGUGAGUAACACGUGAGUAACCUGCCCUUGACUUUGGGAUAACUUCAGGAAACUGGGGCUAAUACCGGAUAGGAGCUCCUGCUGCAUGGUGGGGGUUGGAAAGUUUCGGCGGUUGGGGAUGGACUCGCGGCUUAUCAGCUUGUUGGUGGGGUAGUGGCUUACCAAGGCUUUGACGGGUAGCCGGCCUGAGAGGGUGACCGGCCACAUUGGGACUGAGAUACGGCCCAGACUCCUACGGGAGGCAGCAGUGGGGAAUAUUGCACAAUGGGCGGAAGCCUGAUGCAACAACGCCGCGUGCGGGAUGACGACCUUCGGGUUGUAAACCGCUUUCGCCUGUGACGAAUCGUGAGUGACGGUAAUGGGUAAAGAAGCACCGGCUAACUACGUGCCACCAGCCGCGGUGAUACGUAGGGUGCGAGCGUUGUCCGGAUUUAUUGGGCGUAAAGGGCUCGUAGGUGGUUGAUCACGUCGGAAGUGUAAUCUUGGGGCUUAACCCUGAGCGUGCUUUCGAUACGGGUUGACUUGAGGAAGGUAGGGGAGAAUGGAAUUCCUGGUGGAGCGGUGGAAUGCGCAGAUAUCAGGAGGAACACCAGUGGCGAAGGCGGUUCUCUGGGCCUUUCCUGACGCUGAGGAGCGAAAGCGUGGGGAGCGAACAGGCUUAGAUACCCUGGUAGUCCACGCUGUAAACGGUGGGUACUAGGUGUGGGGUCCAUUCCACGGGUUCCGUGCCGUAGCUAACGCUUUAAGUACCCCGCCUGGGGAGUACGGCCGCAAGGCUAAAACUCAAAGGAAUUGACGGGGCCCCGCACAAGCGGCGGAGCAUGCGGAUUAAUUCGAUGCAACGCGUAGAACCUUACCUGGGUUUGACAUGGAUCGGGAGCGCUCAGAGAUGGGUGUGCCUCUUUUGGGGUCGGUUCACAGGUGGUGCAUGGCUGUCGUCAGCUCGUGUCGUGAGAUGUUGGGUUAAGUCCCGCAACGAGCGCAACCCUUGUUCACUGUUGCCAGCACGUUAUGGUGGGGACUCAGUGGAGACCGCCGGGGUCAACUCGGAGGAAGGUGGGGAUGACGUCAAGUCAUCAUGCCCCUUAUGUCCAGGGCUUCACGCAUGCUACAAUGGCUGGUACAGAGAGUGGCGAGCCUGUGAGGGUGAGCGAAUCUCGGAAAGCCGGUCUCAGUUCGGAUUGGGGUCUGCAACUCGACCUCAUGAAGUCGGAGUCGCUAGUAAUCGCAGAUCAGCAACGCUGCGGUGAAUACGUUCCCGGGGCU
Molecule: ribosomal RNA, 1347 nt
Filed under: uncultured bacterium
Lineage: Bacteria
Description: bacterial SSU rRNA
Rfam family: Bacterial small subunit ribosomal RNA
Source: RNAcentral